Molecule: ribosomal RNA, 101 nt
Filed under: uncultured bacterium
Lineage: Bacteria
Description: partial 16S ribosomal RNA
Rfam family: Bacterial small subunit ribosomal RNA
Source: RNAcentral
UACACACCGCCCGUCACGCCAUGGGAGUUGGUUUCACCCGAAGGUGGUGCGCUAACCCGCAAAGGAGGCAGCCAACCACGGUGGGAUCAGCGACUGGGGUG